This 109-nucleotide non-coding RNA is filed under the name Cyclotella sp. L04_2. Lineage: Eukaryota; Bacillariophyta; Thalassiosirophyceae; Thalassiosirales; Thalassiosiraceae. The record is from RNAcentral.
GGAUAUAGUAAUUAAUAUAAUAUACUAAAAAAAUUGAAAUAUGUCAGGAUUGUAAAAUAGCAGCAUGCGAUUUUAGAAAUAUAUGAGUAUUAAAACUAUAUCUAUUUUU